CCCCAAAGAACCGGCGGCUCCCGGCAGCUCCCACCAUGGAGAGGAAGGAGAGAGGAGCCUCCAGCCCGGACACGGAGGGCACGAUGCCGAACCCUCCGCUGGAGUUCAAUGAUCCCGUUCAUGGCCGGAGGAUGAGCACCACAAAGCGAGCCGUGGCCGCGGCCAGGCAGGAGGGUCCCGAGAACAUUUACGAGCAGCUUUCCAGAGACUGUCCCUGAGCCACCAGCACAGUGCUAAAAAUGAGCCAUUACACACCGACGUGGAGAAAGAAAAGCAGGAAGGGGUGAGGGCCAGCCUCUCCGCUCGCUCCAGGACUCCACGAUCCCGCCAAGGCCGCCGAAAAAGAGUUUGGGAGCACGCGGUCUGCCAGGGGACAGAGCCUCCUGCCCCGUUUUAGCUGCAGCAAAGCCCUCCAGCGCCGCCGGGAGCUGCCGAGCGCCAGGGACAUUUUUAAAAGGGACGAAUCCACAGCGGUGAGCGCAACCCACGGCUCGAGGUUGGGCUGCACGUAGCAAAGUCCCUCGGACAAGAGUUUCGUCACCGGCUGCGCA
Molecule: long non-coding RNA, 551 nt
Organism: Egretta garzetta (little egret)
Lineage: Eukaryota; Metazoa; Chordata; Aves; Pelecaniformes; Ardeidae
Exons: 3
Source: RefSeq, a predicted model, not a curated record